CGUGUAGGCGGCCAAUCAAGUUGGGUGUGAAAGCCCUCGGCUCAACCGAGGAAUUGCACCCGAUACUGAUUGGCUAGAGUCCGGGAGGGGGUAGCGGAAUUCCCAGUGUAGCGGUGAAAUGCGUAGAUAUUGGGAAGAACACCAGUGGCGAAGGCGGCUACCUGGACCGGAACUGACGCUGAGGCGCGAAAGCUAGGGGAGCGAAUG
This 207-nucleotide ribosomal RNA is filed under the name uncultured bacterium. RNAcentral's name for it is "partial 16S ribosomal RNA". It matches the Rfam family "Bacterial small subunit ribosomal RNA", at positions 568 to 774 of the family's 1533-position model. The record is from RNAcentral.